Long non-coding RNA from Aquila chrysaetos chrysaetos, 1823 nucleotides. RefSeq lists it as uncharacterized. The record is from RefSeq and is a predicted model, not a curated record. The transcript has 2 exons. Lineage: Eukaryota; Metazoa; Chordata; Aves; Accipitriformes; Accipitridae.
ACAAUGGAUGAAAGGAUCGAGUGAGAUGCGCAAAAAAAAAAAAAAAACCCAGAGGAGAGAAUUUGAAGAGAAUCAAGAUUCAGCCUUUGUUUUAGUUCUAAUUUGUCCUACGACAGUGAAACCUUCCCAGAUUGGCCUCAGGUAGCGGUACGUUUCCAGCUAUAUUAUGUGACAUGUAACAGAGGUGCAUAAAAAGCCACAUGAGUAUGUUCAGAUACCCACACCCUAACUGGAGCUAAAGAGCAGCAGCUUUUGAAGGCAAGGUUGAGCAGCACCAAGGAGCAAAGCCUGUCCCCCACUUCCUUCACCAUCAUAGAGGUUCUGGAAGUAGUCCUUGCUUGGCUUUCCAAGUGAAAGCUGCUACCAACAGUACUGAAUUACUUAAAAAUUGAUGUUUAUUGUCCACAUGGUGUGCAGCUGAGCGAGCUGCUGUGGCUCCUCGCAAGAGGAAAAAUGCUUGUUGAAUGAACCAUGAUCUGCCCCCACCUUUUUUUUUUUUUUUUUUAGCUUUAAUUGAAUGUGGGAGAGACAGGUUUGGAACUGCUUUUGGGUGAUGGCAGAGGAACUUCUUUUAAGUAAUCUGGGGUAGUUCCAAAAGGCAUUCCAGUUCUCAGAAAAUGUCCAGGGCUGCCGCGCGCCGUGACGCAGGAUGGAGCAGCUGCACACUGGGGAUUGUGCUCCGAGGGAAAGGAACAGAUUCGGAGUGUUCAAACCACGAGUCCUCCUACCUCUCCUUUCCGCUGGAGUCAGCAGCUCUGCCGAAGUCCCGCUGCCCAUUUUAGCUUCUGAAAGACUAGACUAAUUGCUAACGUCUCCUACGAGGACAGAUGUGUACAGAAAAGAUGUACACUAAAAGAGACGCGUAAUAUUUGCCAUUUCAAACAGUGUUCAGCUUUGUAAAGUUGUUUUUAUGCAUUGAAGUGAAAUGUUUAAGUUAAUUGAGUUGAAUACAACGAUAGCUGGCAGCUGUAUCAUAAUAACCCUUCGAUAUACAUGCAGACACAAGGAAGCAUAGAAGCAUUGCUAUUGUUUGUUGCUUUAUUCUGCCUUUGACUUUUUCUUUUUAAUGUCAUUUUUUCUUUUAAGGUUAUCUGCUCUGAUCUGCAGUAAUGUGGAUGCGUAACUGACUGUAUUUGGACUAAAGAUAUUCUUGUCUGUAUGUUUUCCUCGCCAGGCAUUUAGACUAUAAGCUAUAUUGAAAGCAUCAGGCAGAAAGCUAUACUGAAAACAUCAGACAUAAAUAGUUUAAUAUUAAACCAGCUUUGUAUUAUUUUUAUUCCCAUUCAUUUUUAAAGCCUUUUUAAAAAAAAUCUUUAAUUAAUUGCCUUGCAGAGUAAGUUGUUUUUGAAGGCUCACAACUAGCAUUUUCAUAGGCAGUUUUGGGGGUCUUUGUUGCUUGUUUUUUUUUUUUAUAAACUGCCAAAGGGCAUAAACAUACUUACAGUUUUCUAUAGCCAUCUGACAGCAUGUAUGCAAGGAAAUAAAGAUGUCCUUCUCCUGUAUUUUCCCUUAAAUGGCUGGAGAAUGUAUUAUGUUGAUUGGCAUGAGAAAGAAGGCUGUGAUCUUAUUUUUACUGUAUGUUAUAGCGGUUUCAAACUUAUCAAAAGAAGAAAUAGAGGCUUUUUAGAUGGCUGCUUGCCAACAUCACUAAUCAGAAUUUUAAUGAGAUUUUUCUUUUCGAGGCCUAAAUUAGGUCUAAUUAACAAUAUAUAAAGCAAAUGUAUAAUGCCAUAAAAGGGAUGCAGCCUACUGCAUAUAGAAUGUUUCAAUCUCUUUACAAAUAGAAAUAUUGAAGAAAAUACACAUUCUUAUGAUGUUUUAAA